UAGGGAAUCUUCGGCAAUGGACGAAAGUCUGACCGAGCAACGCCGCGUGAGUGAAGAAGGUUUUCGGAUCGUAAAACUCUGUUGUUAGAGAAGAACAAGGACGUUAGUAACUGAACGUCCCCUGACGGUAUCUAACCAGAAAGCCACGGCUAACUACGUGCCAGCAGCCGCGGUAAUACGUAGGUGGCAAGCGUUGUCCGGAUUUAUUGGGCGUAAAGCGAGCGCAGGCGGAUGUGCGCGUGGGGUGUGAAAUCUGGCCGCUUAACGGCCAGGCGCCAUCCCAUACGGCACAACUGGAGGGCUGCAGAGGUCGAUGGAAUUGCCGGUGUAGUGGUGAAAUGCGUAGAGAUCGGCAGGAACACCCAGGGGGAAACCAGUCGACUGGGCAGCACCUGACGCUGAGGUGCGAGAGCGUGGGGAGCGAACCGG
RNAcentral lists this ribosomal RNA (429 nucleotides) under Gemmatimonadota bacterium. RNAcentral describes it as "Gemmatimonadetes bacterium partial 16S ribosomal RNA". It matches the Rfam family "Bacterial small subunit ribosomal RNA", at positions 355 to 776 of the family's 1533-position model. Lineage: Bacteria; Pseudomonadati; Gemmatimonadota. The record is from RNAcentral.